CCCGCCGGCGACCGGCGCACGGGUGAGUAACACGUAUGAAAACCUUGGCCCCGGUUAAGCAGGGGGAUAAGCGGAAGAAAUUCCGUCUAAUACCGCGUAACAACCCAUGGAGGCAUCUCUGUGGGUUUAAAGGAAGCGAUUCCGGCUACGGAUGGUCAUGCGUCGCAUUAGCUUGUUGGCGGGGUAACGGCCCACCAAGGCGACGAUGCGUAGGGGUUCUGAGAGGAAGGUCCCCCACACUGGUACUGAGACACGGUCCAGACUCCUACGGAAGGCAGCAG
This 281-nucleotide ribosomal RNA is filed under the name uncultured bacterium. RNAcentral describes it as "partial 16S ribosomal RNA". It matches the Rfam family "Bacterial small subunit ribosomal RNA", at positions 84 to 354 of the family's 1533-position model. The record is from RNAcentral.